CGAUAUCGAUAUACGUCAGGCCAAUUAAUAAAAAAAAUUGUGUCGUCUACUUCGUUUUGUGCACGAAAAUCAGCACAACAAAUAAAAUUUCUAAAAUGUGGGCGUCGUGUGAACUCCAUGCUGUUUAGCAGAUUUGAGGCCUGAACCAGCCAUCAUUACAACACACGACAUGCAAGUUUUACUUCUGCUGGUAUUGACCUGUCACCACCAACAAUCUCAUCAUUGUCUUCUCUUGGCAUCCAGUUUUAUUGGGAAAAUUCCCAUUUCUUUAAAUCCCCCAUGUCAUCGUGUACAUGUGAGUGUAUUUACGAGGACCUGACGAGGACACCCUUUUCCCUAUCUCGUCUGGUGGAUUCAACUAUUCUGUGGAUGGAGCACCUGUGGAUGCCUGGCCGUAUUUUCCCUGGCUUAAAGGUAGGACAAAUUAUACCUAUUCUUCCUUAUUGACUAUUUGAUGGCGUCGAUUUUGAAUCGUGACAUAGUACAGAGAAUGAUUACUAUUCCUGAGCUAGGCUAGGCUAUAGACGAUUGAUUGGAACUGUUUUCUCUUUUUACUCAGUAAGGGUUCAUUAAAUUUAAGCAAUGGUCACUCAUUUGUAGAACGACUGCAGAUCAGGCCCUGAUUUGUACCUCACAACUUUGUCUGUGGGUCUAAACAAUCAAGUUCAAAAAUAUUUUAACUUGAAACGCUUUAAGCAAAGUGUAACCAGAAAAUUGUAUGGCCAAAAGAGACCUGCCGCCACACCGGCACUCCUCAUUUCACAGUCGGCCAGUUCUUUACACACACCUCUACAUAAUAGCAAGUCUUCCAUCUCUGUCCGGCUCUGUGAUGUCUUGAUGAGAAUAAAUCGAAUCCAAGAAAA
This is a long non-coding RNA of Daphnia pulex (common water flea), 863 nucleotides long. RefSeq lists it as uncharacterized. NCBI's taxonomy places the organism in Eukaryota, Metazoa, Arthropoda, Branchiopoda, Diplostraca, Daphniidae. The record is from RefSeq and is a predicted model, not a curated record. The transcript has 3 exons.